UCCUGUUCUUUUUCCCAGAACAGGCACUUUGCUAAAGUGUUUGCCACUUACUAAUAUGGAAUAGGUCCUGCAGUGAGCUCUCUGCACUAGAGUGGCUGCCACUCAAAAACACAUGGCAAAUGCUUCCCCAAAGCUCUUGCUGGGGGUUAUUUUUAGUUGGUUGUUUGAGAUUGAUGAUCACCCUCAAAAAAGAAAAGAACAAACAAAAAACCCCAGCAAAUUUCAACGUUCCAUGAGGGAAAACUGCAGUCUUUGAAGUAACAGAUGUUUUUGGUGGUUUAUUUACUAUUAACUAUUAAUGUUACAGCUGGUAUGUGCAUACAAUUAAUUAAUUUUAAGCAAAGGAACUUUCUAGAAGAUAAUUUCCCCUUGGGAGAGGUGGGAUUUAUGCCUAGGUCCCAGUAGAGCUGAGUGUGUGUCCUGUGGCUGAGCUUGCCUAUGGGUCACAAGGCCAAUUAACAGGAUCACAGGACCCUGGGGGCUGCAGCAGGAGAUUUCCCCUCUGGAAGAAACAAAAGGCUGCCAAUAUCCUGAUUAAUUUGCUUUGUGAAAUCCUAUUCAAGUGGGAAUUGAUGUGGACGCUUCACAUGCAUGGGUGUUAUGGUUGGAAUGGGUCAAAAAUACAGCAAUGUAGGGGAUGAAGCACAGAGUAAAAGAGGCAUCCUGACACUGGAACAUCCCACUGAGUGUGGAAUCAUCAUUAACUGGGAUGAAGUGGGAAAGGCUUGGUAUCAGAAAUGCCUUGUUCAUUUUGAGUGGAAAACAUGGACUUCAUGUUAUGUGACAUUGGAUUGGGAAAAUGAAACAGCAACUCUGCCUCCUCCUCCUCUCUUGAAAAGGGCAUGGAGCUUCCUGAUGGACAGGGGAAGGAAUUCACCAUUGGCAAUGGAUGGUGCUGAUGCCCAGGAGUAUUUUGCCUGUAUAAUCACCUUGCUGAGCUUCCAGAGGAGGUGAGUGGAAGGUGCUGUCCUUGCUCUCCUAGCCUCACACAGCUUUUUCCUGGAGUUUUCUCAGGGAGACAGCUUGGACUAGUGAGCCUUCCUCUCCUUUUAACAGCAGGAAAAAGGAGGGGAUGAAGAGAGAAAUAAUGUGUUGAAACUUCUUUCCA
Melospiza melodia melodia is the source of this 1108-nucleotide long non-coding RNA. RefSeq lists it as uncharacterized. The record is from RefSeq and is a predicted model, not a curated record. NCBI's taxonomy places the organism in Eukaryota, Metazoa, Chordata, Aves, Passeriformes, Passerellidae. The transcript has 3 exons.